This 446-nucleotide ribosomal RNA is filed under the name uncultured bacterium. Its description in RNAcentral is "partial 16S ribosomal RNA". It matches the Rfam family "Bacterial small subunit ribosomal RNA", at positions 29 to 523 of the family's 1533-position model. The record is from RNAcentral.
AACGAACGCUGGCGGCAUGCUUAACACAUGCAAGUCGAACGCCCCGCACGGGCAGUGUCAGACGGGUGAGUAACGCGUGGGAACGUGCCCUUCGCUUCGGAAUAGCCCCGGGAAACUGGGAGUAAUACCGGAUACGCCGUAUGGUGUAAGAUUUAUCGGCGAAGGAUCGGCCCGCGUUGGAUUAGCUAGUUGGAGGUGUAAUGGAACCCCAAGGCUACGAUCCAUAGCUGGUCUGAGAGGAUGAUCAGCCACACUGGGACUGAGACACGGCCCAGACUCAUACGGGAGGCAGCAGUGGGGAAUCUUGGACCAUGGGCGCAAGCCUGAUCCAGCCAUGCCGCGUGGGUGAAGAAGGCCUUAGGGUUGGAAAACUCUUUCGCCGGGGAAGAUAAUGACGUUAUCCGGAGAGGAAGCCCCGGCUAACUUCGUGCCAGCCGCCGCCGUAA